GACGAACGCUGGCGGCGUGCUUAACACAUGCAAGUCGAACGGAAACGCCCUGCUUUUGUGGGGUGCUAGAGUGGCGAACGGUUGAGUAACACGUUAGUAACCUGCCCUUGACUUUGGGAUAACUUCAGGAAACUGGGGCUAAUACCGGAUAGGAGCUCCUGCUGCAUGGUGGGGGUUGGAAAGUUUCGGCGGUUGGGGAUGGACUCGCGGCUUAUCAGCUUGUUGGUGGGGUAGUGGCUUACCAAGGCUUUGACGGGUAGCCGGCCUGAGAGGGUGACCGGCCACAUUGGGACGGAGAUACGGCCCAGACUCGAACGGGAGGCAGCAGUGGGGAGUAUUGCACAAUGGGCGGAAGCCUGAUGCGGCAACGCCGCGUGCGGGAUGACGGCCUGCGGGUUGUAAACCGCUUUCGCCUGUGACGAAGCGUGAGUGACGGUAAUGGGUAAAGAAGCACCGGCUAACUACGUG
Molecule: ribosomal RNA, 468 nt
Filed under: uncultured bacterium
Lineage: Bacteria
Description: partial 16S ribosomal RNA
Rfam family: Bacterial small subunit ribosomal RNA
Source: RNAcentral